This is a long non-coding RNA of Grus americana (Whooping crane), 417 nucleotides long. RefSeq lists it as uncharacterized. NCBI's taxonomy places the organism in Eukaryota, Metazoa, Chordata, Aves, Gruiformes, Gruidae. The record is from RefSeq and is a predicted model, not a curated record. The transcript has 5 exons.
GGGUUUAAGAAAUCCACCAAACUUUCCUGUGUGAUUAUCCUGGUUCUGGCGAGGACGGAGUUAAUUUCACAAGGAGCCAGGACAGACAGCAGAGAGCAGCAGUGUGAUGACCUGAAUCAGAAGGAGUGAUGUUAAGGAAUACUGAAAAGAAACUGCUACAGUGACGGAUGUAAGCAGAUGCUGUUGCCCUGGUGAUUGCUCAUUUGAGUCUGGAUUGCACCAGGGCACUCUGGGGAGCUACUGGCAAUAUAUUCUUUCUAACCAAAUUCAUGUAUGUCUCAGAAAGGGAGAGUUCUGUUCCUCUUCAGUGCCAUCUUCAAUCCCAGGUUUUCUACAGUCAGGAUUUUUUUCUUCCUUUUGACUACUGGAUUUUUUCUCAUGCCAAUCCUACAAGGAUGAAAUGAAACCAAGUAGAAU